Non-coding RNA from Vicia faba (fava bean), 312 nucleotides. The record is from the annotation of a GenBank genome assembly. NCBI's taxonomy places the organism in Eukaryota, Viridiplantae, Streptophyta, Magnoliopsida, Fabales, Fabaceae.
UUAAUCUUCACCAUAUUCAAAGAAUAAUUUUCCAACAACAACACCUUGCAAUAGAAACAUGACAAAUUGAGAUAUGAGAGGAAAAGUAAAGCAAAGAUCACAGAAUCUGAAGAAUGAGAAGAAGAAGAGACGAAGUGAAGGAGAAGAUGCAUACCUGAACGAGGAUGAGCCAGACUGUCUCAGGCAGGCAUAUAGACUUCGGAGAUGUGGGAACAAGGUGAGAAUGUUGGAAUCAAGUAAUGGAUCAGCGGUGGGGGGAAUGGCAGAGAAGAUGACGAGUGAGAAAGUUGUGUCGUCAAAGGUGCAUAUCAU